AGGAUCAUUUGCAAUGGGCGAAAGCCUGACAAUGCGACGCUGCGUGCAGGAUGAAGGCCUUCGGGUUGUAAACUGCUGUCAGGGGGGAAAAGGACGCGGCCCCGAACAAGGGCUGCCGUUUGAUUGUACCUCCAGAGGAAGUGACGGCUAACUCUGUGCCAGCAGCCGCGGUAAUACAGAGGUCACUAGCGUUGUUCGGAUUUACUGGGCGUAAAGCGUGCGCAGGCGGCCGACCUUGUCGGAUGUGAAAGCCCGGGGCUCAGCCCCGGAAGUGCAUCCGAAAGCGGUCGGCUCGAGUCCGGGAGGGGAGUCUGGAACACACGGUGUAGCGGUGAAAUGCGUUGAUAUCGUGUGGAACACCGGUAGCGAAGGCGAGACUCUGGAACGGCACUGACGCUCAAGCACGAAAGCGUGGGGAGCAAACA
This 425-nucleotide ribosomal RNA is filed under the name uncultured bacterium. RNAcentral's name for it is "bacterial SSU rRNA". It matches the Rfam family "Bacterial small subunit ribosomal RNA", at positions 358 to 774 of the family's 1533-position model. The record is from RNAcentral.